Molecule: long non-coding RNA, 924 nt
Organism: Pseudophryne corroboree (corroboree frog)
Lineage: Eukaryota; Metazoa; Chordata; Amphibia; Anura; Myobatrachidae
Exons: 3
Source: RefSeq, a predicted model, not a curated record
CAAAGGGAAAUCCUCUGUUGUGAUGGUUGUGCAGGCCCACAGGCUAGGCCGGGGUUCUCAGUUGGAUGGGUAGUCCCAGAGCUGGUGCAGGUCCUGCCUUGGUUCUCUCCCCAGCAGGCAGCAAUGGGAUCUAGUCUGGCCAGCAGAGGUGAGGAGAGGUCACAGAGCAGAGCAUCUCUGGAGCUGUAGGAGGUGGCCUGCAGUUAUAGCGGCCAGCAAAAUUGAGGCCAUUGCUGCGGCUGGAAAUGCAGUCCCUAGUAGCCGCAUGAAGGACCUCGGCAGUGGAGUGGAGCUUGCUGGGCCGGCAGGUGGGAGUUGCAACUGCCUGCGGAGACCAGUGCACGUGGGUCCGGCACUCAGAGGAUGAGUGCUGGACUAUGAUGGAGACUCUGCACUGGGCAGCCAGCAGGAGCCGGGAGAUGGGACCCAGUGGCCGCGGGGAGGAGCCAUGCAAUGCCAGGGCUGCCGCGUUUCCUACCACCAACCAUAAAUGAGACAAAUGCAAUCCUCCCAGGACGGAUAUGAGCAGAGGGAUACGGCUAAUAGAGAUAACAAUCACAGCACAGAUACUGGAAGAUGUUGUGGAAGCUGAUUUUGCACAUCAUUAUCAUCUCUCAGGAUACAGCGACCUACAGCCCCAAAUAAAUUACAAGGUUAUUAAGGCAAUGGCUCAUUGUGUGUAUCUGGCAGCUGGGUACAUGUAUCCCAGGGUACAUUAAGCCACCUCUCACUGCACAGUAAAUAAUCUGAUAGAGAGAUGCAUCAACCGGGGCUGACACGCAAUAUGUGGCCCAAUCCGCACGGUGGAGUAUCACUGGGAGAGGGGAAGCCACUUGUGUGCUACAUUCUCCCCCGCACAGGACUUGACUGAAGACGAAUGUGUUUUCACAGCUGGGUUCAUUUCAAGUCGUCUUCGCUUUUUGC